Molecule: ribosomal RNA, 2902 nt
Filed under: Escherichia coli
Lineage: Bacteria; Pseudomonadati; Pseudomonadota; Gammaproteobacteria; Enterobacterales; Enterobacteriaceae
Description: bacterial LSU rRNA
Rfam family: Bacterial large subunit ribosomal RNA
Source: RNAcentral
UUAAGCGACUAAGCGUACACGGUGGAUGCCCUGGCAGUCAGAGGCGAUGAAGGACGUGCUAAUCUGCGAUAAGCGUCGGUAAGGUGAUAUGAACCGUUAUAACCGGCGAUUUCCGAAUGGGGAAACCCAGUGUGAUUCGUCACACUAUCAUUAACUGAAUCCAUAGGUUAAUGAGGCGAACCGGGGGAACUGAAACAUCUAAGUACCCCGAGGAAAAGAAAUCAACCGAGAUUCCCCCAGUAGCGGCGAGCGAACGGGGAGCAGCCCAGAGCCUGAAUCAGUGUGUGUGUUAGUGGAAGCGUCUGGAAAGGCGCGCGAUACAGGGUGACAGCCCCGUACACAAAAAUGCACAUGCUGUGAGCUCGAUGAGUAGGGCGGGACACGUGGUAUCCUGUCUGAAUAUGGGGGGACCAUCCUCCAAGGCUAAAUACUCCUGACUGACCGAUAGUGAACCAGUACCGUGAGGGAAAGGCGAAAAGAACCCCGGCGAGGGGAGUGAAAAAGAACCUGAAACCGUGUACGUACAAGCAGUGGGAGCACGCUUAGGCGUGUGACUGCGUACCUUUUGUAUAAUGGGUCAGCGACUUAUAUUCUGUAGCAAGGUUAACCGAAUAGGGGAGCCGAAGGGAAACCGAGUCUUAACUGGGCGUUAAGUUGCAGGGUAUAGACCCGAAACCCGGUGAUCUAGCCAUGGGCAGGUUGAAGGUUGGGUAACACUAACUGGAGGACCGAACCGACUAAUGUUGAAAAAUUAGCGGAUGACUUGUGGCUGGGGGUGAAAGGCCAAUCAAACCGGGAGAUAGCUGGUUCUCCCCGAAAGCUAUUUAGGUAGCGCCUCGUGAAUUCAUCUCCGGGGGUAGAGCACUGUUUCGGCAAGGGGGUCAUCCCGACUUACCAACCCGAUGCAAACUGCGAAUACCGGAGAAUGUUAUCACGGGAGACACACGGCGGGUGCUAACGUCCGUCGUGAAGAGGGAAACAACCCAGACCGCCAGCUAAGGUCCCAAAGUCAUGGUUAAGUGGGAAACGAUGUGGGAAGGCCCAGACAGCCAGGAUGUUGGCUUAGAAGCAGCCAUCAUUUAAAGAAAGCGUAAUAGCUCACUGGUCGAGUCGGCCUGCGCGGAAGAUGUAACGGGGCUAAACCAUGCACCGAAGCUGCGGCAGCGACGCUUAUGCGUUGUUGGGUAGGGGAGCGUUCUGUAAGCCUGUGAAGGUGUGCUGUGAGGCAUGCUGGAGGUAUCAGAAGUGCGAAUGCUGACAUAAGUAACGAUAAAGCGGGUGAAAAGCCCGCUCGCCGGAAGACCAAGGGUUCCUGUCCAACGUUAAUCGGGGCAGGGUGAGUCGACCCCUAAGGCGAGGCCGAAAGGCGUAGUCGAUGGGAAACAGGUUAAUAUUCCUGUACUUGGUGUUACUGCGAAGGGGGGACGGAGAAGGCUAUGUUGGCCGGGCGACGGUUGUCCCGGUUUAAGCGUGUAGGCUGGUUUUCCAGGCAAAUCCGGAAAAUCAAGGCUGAGGCGUGAUGACGAGGCACUACGGUGCUGAAGCAACAAAUGCCCUGCUUCCAGGAAAAGCCUCUAAGCAUCAGGUAACAUCAAAUCGUACCCCAAACCGACACAGGUGGUCAGGUAGAGAAUACCAAGGCGCUUGAGAGAACUCGGGUGAAGGAACUAGGCAAAAUGGUGCCGUAACUUCGGGAGAAGGCACGCUGAUAUGUAGGUGAAGUCCCUCGCGGAUGGAGCUGAAAUCAGUCGAAGAUACCAGCUGGCUGCAACUGUUUAUUAAAAACACAGCACUGUGCAAACACGAAAGUGGACGUAUACGGUGUGACGCCUGCCCGGUGCCGGAAGGUUAAUUGAUGGGGUCAGCGCAAGCGAAGCUCUUGAUCGAAGCCCCGGUAAACGGCGGCCGUAACUAUAACGGUCCUAAGGUAGCGAAAUUCCUUGUCGGGUAAGUUCCGACCUGCACGAAUGGCGUAAUGAUGGCCAGGCUGUCUCCACCCGAGACUCAGUGAAAUUGAACUCGCUGUGAAGAUGCAGUGUACCCGCGGCAAGACGGAAAGACCCCGUGAACCUUUACUAUAGCUUGACACUGAACAUUGAGCCUUGAUGUGUAGGAUAGGUGGGAGGCUUUGAAGUGUGGACGCCAGUCUGCAUGGAGCCGGCCUUGAAAUACCACCCUUUAAUGUUUGAUGUUCUAACGUGGACCCGUAAUCCGGGUUGCGGACAGUGUCUGGUGGGUAGUUUGACUGGGGCGGUCUCCUCCUAAAGAGUAACGGAGGAGCACGAAGGUUGGCUAAUCCUGGUCGGACAUCAGGAGGUUAGUGCAAUGGCAUAAGCCAGCUUGACUGCGAGCGUGACGGCGCGAGCAGGUGCGAAAGCAGGUCAUAGUGAUCCGGUGGUUCUGAAUGGAAGGGCCAUCGCUCAACGGAUAAAAGGUACUCCGGGGAUAACAGGCUGAUACCGCCCAAGAGUUCAUAUCGACGGCGGUGUUUGGCACCUCGAUGUCGGCUCAUCACAUCCUGGGGCUGAAGUAGGUCCCAAGGGUAUGGCUGUUCGCCAUUUAAAGUGGUACGCGAGCUGGGUUUAGAACGUCGUGAGACAGUUCGGUCCCUAUCUGCCGUGGGCGCUGGAGAACUGAGGGGGGCUGCUCCUAGUACGAGAGGACCGGAGUGGACGCAUCACUGGUGUUCGGGUUGUCAUGCCAAUGGCACUGCCCGGUAGCUAAAUGCGGAAGAGAUAAGUGCUGAAAGCAUCUAAGCACGAAACUUGCCCCGAGAUGAGUUCUCCCUGACUCCUUGAGAGUCCUGAAGGAACGUUGAAGACGACGACGUUGAUAGGCCGGGUGUGUAAGCGCAGCGAUGCGUUGAGCUAACCGGUACUAAUGAACCGUGAGGCUUAACCUU